RNAcentral lists this ribosomal RNA (246 nucleotides) under uncultured bacterium. RNAcentral's name for it is "partial 16S ribosomal RNA". It matches the Rfam family "Bacterial small subunit ribosomal RNA", at positions 523 to 769 of the family's 1533-position model. The record is from RNAcentral.
AUACGUAGGUCCCGAGCGUUGUCCGGAUUUAUUGGGCGUAAAGCGAGCGCAGGUGGUUUAAUAAGUCUGAUGUAAAAGGCAGUGGCUCAACCAUUGUGUGCAUUGGAAACUGUUAGACUUGAGUGCAGUAGAGGAGAGUGGAAUUCCAUGUGUAGCGGUGAAAUGCGUAGAUAUUAGGAGGAACACCAGUGGCGAAGGCGUCUUUCUGGUCUGCAUCUGACACUGAGGAGCGAAAGCCAGGGGAGC